GAUGAAGAACGUAGCGAAAUGCGAUAAGUAAUGUGAAUUGCAGAAUUCAGUGAAUCAUCGAAUCUUUGAACGCACAUUGCGCCCCCUGGUAUUCCGGGGGGCAUGACUGUUCGAGCGUCAUUACAACCCUCAAGCUCUGCUUGGUAUUGGGCCCCGCCAGUUCUGGCGGGCCCUAAAGUCAGUGGCGGUGCCUUCCGGCUCCGAGCGUAGUAAUUCUUCUCGCUCUGGAGACCCGGUUGUGUGCUUGCCAACAACCCCCAAUUUUUUAAGGUUGACCUCGGAUCAGGUAGGGAUACCCGCUGAACUUAAGCAUAUCAAUAAGCGGAGGA
Molecule: unclassified non-coding RNA, 329 nt
Filed under: soil metagenome
Description: partial contains 5.8S ribosomal RNA, internal transcribed spacer 2, and large subunit ribosomal RNA
Rfam family: 5.8S ribosomal RNA (bases 1-120)
Source: RNAcentral